Molecule: ribosomal RNA, 484 nt
Filed under: uncultured bacterium
Lineage: Bacteria
Description: bacterial SSU rRNA
Rfam family: Bacterial small subunit ribosomal RNA
Source: RNAcentral
GAUGAACGCUGGCGGCGUGCCUAACACAUGCAAGUCGAGCGGGGUUUAGGCGCUUGCGCCUAAACCUAGCGGCGGACGGGUGAGUAACACGUGGAUAAUCUGCCCUUUACAUCGGAAUAACAUCUAGAAAUAGAUGCUAAUGCCGAAUAAGCCUACAGCAUUACAUGAUGGAGUAGGAAAAGAUUAAUUGGUAAAGGAUGAGUCCGCGCCUGAUUAGCUAGUUGGCGGGGUAAAAGCCCACCAAGGCGACGAUCAGUAGCCGGCCUGAGUGGGUGAACGGCCACAUUGGGACUGAGACACGGCCCAGACUCCUACGGGAGGCAGCAGUGGGGAAUAUUGCACAAUGGGCGCAAGCCUGAUGCAGCAACGCCGCGUGAAGGAAGAAGGGUUUCGGCUCGUAAACUUCUAUCGAUGGGGACGAAACAAAUGACGGUACCCAAGUAAGAAGCCCCGGCUAACUACGUGCCAGCCGCCGCGGUAAAAC